UUUGGGACUUUCUAGAUCACAUUUAUACAAGGCUUUUCAUGAAUUCAAGAGAUCUUCAUCUACAGAGUUGUUCAAAAUAGUGUAAACAGUUUGGUUUCCACCUUUUGCUGGCUAAAGGUGUUGGAACAAAUCUUCAAACAUGUCCUUCUAUGGUUGCUAAUAAUUUUUCAAGAAAAGGGGAUUCUUUGUCAGGAAGCAAAAGAUUGAGCAACAGAGAAAAGAUUUGACCAAAUGCUGCAGGUGAUACUGGACACACAUAUUUUCGAGAUAUCGGUUACUAUACCUGGAAUUAAGAAUGUUAUUGAUCCUGGACUGGUGAAAGUGUGAAUGACAUGCUUAUAUAUUUGUGCAAACUUGCUCCAUCCGGGGUAUAUACCUCCUUCAACUCAUCAACAUAGUCGUGUAGCAGUUUACAAGCUAUUGCCUUCUACUGGAGGAUACUUGUUUUUAUACCAAUCCUUAAAUCCCCGUGUUAUAGUCUCCAUUCUCGAGAAUGGAGACUGUAACACUCGGGGGUCUAAGGAUUGUAUAGAAACAAGUGUGCUAGAGGAGAAGGUAUAGCUUGUAAAAGGCUACGCAGCUAUGUGGAUGAAUUGAAGGAGGGUUUGUACCCAUGGAUUGACCAAGUUUGCAUAAAUAUACGUGCAUGUAUUUCGUACAAGCUAUUGAUUUCCCAUAUUCUCAUCACUUCCCUCUCAGAAGCAAAUGAAGGUUUUCAUCCCUUCACCCGCAGGAUAUCGUAAGGUAUGGUGUUGAAACUGUUUAAGUUUCAACUCGGGACGAGCUCUAUCCACUGUCUCCAGUGUUGAACGACGAUAUAAAGGAGAAGAAUGCUACUCUAUAAUCGGUAGAGAGUGCUUUUCCCCUCGUGAUUCGGAUUAGUUGGGCUAGUAGGUUUCAGAUACACUGAUUCUAAUUCAUAAGAGUGACUCAAAUCCUAGCCAAGGUAAACAACAUUCGGUGAUUUCUUCUCAUCUGUCAAGUCUUGAUUGGGCAAAAUUACUCGACAUCUGUAUUGGUGGAAGUUAGCAAGUAUAAGAUGAAAUUAGUCGAGUUGUGCUCAAACUGGCUUGACACCAAGGUCAUUCAUUAGAAAAAUAGCAAUAUGCAAAAUGUAAAGAUUGUAUCUUUUUUUUUUGUUUCUGUAUUUUUUUUUUU
Long non-coding RNA from Solanum tuberosum (potato), 1158 nucleotides. RefSeq lists it as uncharacterized. The record is from RefSeq and is a predicted model, not a curated record. The transcript is spliced from 5 exons. Lineage: Eukaryota; Viridiplantae; Streptophyta; Magnoliopsida; Solanales; Solanaceae.